Molecule: ribosomal RNA, 492 nt
Filed under: uncultured bacterium
Lineage: Bacteria
Description: partial 16S ribosomal RNA
Rfam family: Bacterial small subunit ribosomal RNA
Source: RNAcentral
AGUGAACGCUGGCGGUAGGCCUAACACAUGCAAGUCGAACGGCAGCACAGUAAGAGCUUGCUCUUACGGGUGGCGAGUGGCGGACGGGUGAGGAAUACAUCGGAAUCUACUUUUUCGUGGGGGAUAACGUAGGGAAACUUACGCUAAUACCGCAUACGACCUACGGGUGAAAGCAGGGGAUCUUCGGACCUUGCGCGAUUGAAUGAGCCGAUGUCGGAUUAGCUAGUUGGCGGGGUAAAGGCCCACCAAGGCGACGAUCCGUAGCUGGUCUGAGAGGAUGAUCAGCCACACUGGAACUGAGACACGGUCCAGACUCCUACGGGAGGCAGCAGUGGGGAAUAUUGGACAACGGGCGCAAGCCUGAUCCAGCCAUACCGCGUGGGUGAAGAAGGCGUUCGGGUUGUAAAGCCCUUUUGUUGGGAAAGAAAAGCAGCAGGUUAAUACCCCGCUGUUCUGACGGUACCCAAAGAAUAAGCACCGGCUAACUUCGUG